Molecule: ribosomal RNA, 301 nt
Filed under: uncultured bacterium
Lineage: Bacteria
Description: partial 16S ribosomal RNA
Rfam family: Bacterial small subunit ribosomal RNA
Source: RNAcentral
CAGCAGCCGCGGUAAAACGUAGGUCCCGAGCGUUGUCCGGAUUUAUUGGGCGUAAAGCGAGCGCAGGCGGUUAGAUAAGUCUGAAGUUAAAGGCUGUGGCUUAACCAUAGUACGCUUUGGAAACUGUUUAACUUGAGUGCAAGAGGGGAGAGUGGAAUUCCAUGUGUAGCGGUGAAAUGCGUAGAUAUAUGGAGGAACACCGGUGGCGAAAGCGGCUCUCUGGCUUGUAACUGACGCUGAGGCUCGAAAGCGUGGGGAGCAAACAGGAUUAGAUACCCGUGUAGUCCCUGUCUCUUAUACA